RNAcentral lists this ribosomal RNA (426 nucleotides) under Boana albopunctatus group sp. ABGD cluster 0. RNAcentral's name for it is "partial large subunit ribosomal RNA". It matches the Rfam family "Archaeal large subunit ribosomal RNA", at positions 1926 to 2490 of the family's 2987-position model. Lineage: Eukaryota; Metazoa; Chordata; Amphibia; Anura; Hylidae. The record is from RNAcentral.
CUUGAUGAAAUAUAAGAGGUCCAGCCUGCCCAGUGACCUAGUUCAACGGCCGCGGUAUCCUAACCGUGCGAAGGUAGCGUAAUCACUUGUUCUUUAAAUGAGGACUAGUAUGAAUGGCACCACGAGGGUUAAGCUGUCUCCUUUUUCUAAUCAGUGAAACUAAUCUCCCCGUGAAGAAGCGGGGAUAACACUAUAAGACGAGAAGACCCUAUGGAGCUUAAAACAAAUUAACACCUGCUUCUAUUUAUUCUUAUUCCCGAACUGACACAUAAAACACAGCAUUAUUGAUUUACAGUUUUCGAUUGGGGUGAUCAUGGAGUAAAACCAAACCUCCACGACGAAAAGGGGUACUUCCCUGAGCCAAAAGCUACAACUUUAAGCACUAAAAAAUUAACGCACUUUGACCCAAAAUUUUGAGCAACGAAC